Molecule: non-coding RNA, 577 nt
Organism: Cricetulus griseus (Chinese hamster)
Lineage: Eukaryota; Metazoa; Chordata; Mammalia; Rodentia; Cricetidae
Source: RefSeq, a predicted model, not a curated record
CUGCGGGCCAGGCCCGUGUCCCACAUAGUCCUCGGAGCUCCUCGGCAGCGUCCACGGCCGCCCUGACCUUCUCCAGCCUUCAGAACCGCUCCGAGAGAGGUCGUAAGACUGGGAAAGUCUUCCUGGGACACUAUGUGGACAAGAGGGCGCAAACUAGAGAGCCACUGUGCCAGUCUGCUGGGUUAAGAUCCUGCUCCAGCGCGGAACCUACCAGGAAACGUGAGAGCCUGAAUCAAGCAGGUGGCGCUGGCCUUGUGAACUGUGCCUGGUUGCCUUGAGUUUGUUUUUUUGCGCAGGGACACUAUGGAGAGUCUUAAGCAGGAAGUGGUGACUGGUUUGUGUUCUCAAAAAAAAAAAAAAAAAAAAAAAAAAUCACUGGCAUCCUUGCGGUACGAAAAGAAACCAGAAGCGGGGAACUCUCCUUUUUAAUGAUGUCAUUUUUAUCUUCACCACAAGCCAAUAAACAAGUGAGACAGGCAGUGAAAGGUGAACACAGAACCGCCAACCAUUACAUUCCUAAGAGCUGUAAUUUACUCAUAACAGAAUCAGGUAUAAUAAUAAAACUUUUGGUUGUCGA